RNAcentral lists this ribosomal RNA (450 nucleotides) under uncultured bacterium. RNAcentral's name for it is "bacterial SSU rRNA". It matches the Rfam family "Bacterial small subunit ribosomal RNA", at positions 355 to 825 of the family's 1533-position model. The record is from RNAcentral.
UCGAGAAUCUUCCACAAUGGACGAAAGUCUGAUGGAGCGACGUCGCGUGAUGGACGAAGUGCUUCGGCACGUAAACAUCUUUUAUGUGGGACGAAAUUAUUGACAGUACCACAUGAAUAAGGGGCUCCUAACUCUGUGCCAGCAGGAGCGGUAAUACAGAGGCCCCAAGCGUUAUCCGGAAUCACUGGGCGUAAAGGGUGUCGAGGCGGUUGUAUUAGUCGUUCGUAAAAUCUACGAGCUUAACUUGUAGGCGGCGAACGAAACGGUACGACUUGAGGUUUGGAGAGGUGCGUGGAACUCACGGUGUAGGGGUGAAAUCCGUUGAUAUCGUGGGGAACACCAAAGGCGAAGGCAGCGCACUGGCCAAAAUCUGACGCUCACACACGAAAGCUAGGGUAGCGAAGAGGAUUAGAUACCCGCGUAGUCCCUGAGCGGGCUGGCAAGGCGCAU